RNAcentral lists this ribosomal RNA (253 nucleotides) under uncultured bacterium. RNAcentral's name for it is "partial 16S ribosomal RNA". It matches the Rfam family "Bacterial small subunit ribosomal RNA", at positions 524 to 776 of the family's 1533-position model. The record is from RNAcentral.
UACGUAUGGGGCAAGCGUUAUCCGGAUUUACUGGGUGUAAAGGGAGCGUAGGCGGCGCGUUAAGUCUGAUGUGAAAACCCGAGGCUCAACCACGGGAGUGCAUUGGAAACUGGCGGGCUGGAGUGCCGGAGAGGUAAGCGGAAUUCCUAGUGUAGCGGUGAAAUGCGUAGAUAUUAGGAGGAACACCAGUGGCGAAGGCGGCUUACUGGACGGCAACUGACGCUGAGGCUCGAAAGCGUGGGGAGCAAACAGG